AACGAACGCUGGCGGCAUGCCUAACACAUGCAAGUCGAACGAAAACUCCGGCUUUCGUGGCGGAAGGGUGCGUACUGCGUGGGCAAACGCCCUUAGGACCGGAAUAUCUUCUGGAACGAGGUGCUAAUAAAGGAUAAUGUCUUCGGUCUAAUGCUCUAUCGCCUUUGGAUGUGCCGGCGUUGGUUUAGCUAGUUGGUAGGGUAAAGGCGUAUCAGGGCGCGGACCAAUAGCUGGUUAGUGAGGAUGGGCAGCCACACUGGGGCUGAGGGGCGGCCCAGAUUCCUACGGGAGGAAGCAGUGCGGAAUAUUGGACAAGGGGCGAAAGGCUGAGGCAGCAAGGCCGCGUGAGUGAUGAAGGCCUUAGGGUUGUAAAGCUCUUUUACCCGGGAGGAUAAUGACGGUACCGGGAGAAUAAGCACCGGCUAACUCCGUG
This 433-nucleotide ribosomal RNA is filed under the name uncultured bacterium. RNAcentral describes it as "partial 16S ribosomal RNA". It matches the Rfam family "Bacterial small subunit ribosomal RNA", at positions 29 to 507 of the family's 1533-position model. The record is from RNAcentral.